Molecule: long non-coding RNA, 923 nt
Filed under: Rattus norvegicus (Norway rat)
Lineage: Eukaryota; Metazoa; Chordata; Mammalia; Rodentia; Muridae
Description: long non-coding RNA NONRATT003518
Source: RNAcentral
UGUCCUGACGAUGGCCUGGAGUGUGUGCCCAUUGGGCAACACCAAGUCCGAAUGCAGAUCCUCAUGAUCCAGUACCCGAGCAGUCAGCUGGGGGAGAUGUCCCUGGAAGAACACAGCCAAUGUGAAUGCAGACCAAAAAGAAAGGAGAGUGCUGUGAAGCCAGACAGCCCCAGGACCCUCUGCCCACGCUGCACCCAGCGCCGUCAGCGCCCUGAUCCCCGGACCUGCCGUUGCCGCUGCAGACGCCGCCGCUUCCUCCAUUGCCAAGGGCGGGGCUUAGAGCUCAACCCAGAUACCUGCAGGUGAGGAGUCUGUGGGGUGGCACUGGUGUGGGAAGGCAGCAAUGCUGCGUCCUGGGGCAGGUCCAGAUGGGCCUGCCAAUGGUGGAGAGACCAGGGAAGGAGGAGACAGCUGCAUGUGUUAAAUCACUUACUGUGCAUCUGCUGGCACCCAGAUCAUCAGAAACUUAGCUCAAGACUAGAUGCACAAAUCAGAUGGUGAGAGAGAUGGUGUCACCACCAAUAGAAGAUGCUAAGCUCUAUGACAGGGACAACGAUCUAAUCUAAGCCAUCAACCAUCUCCUGGAGGGGAACUCAAGAAGACUUUUUCCACGGGCUUUACACGAUAGAUAUUUGCUCCAUUCUGUAGGCUCUGAGAGAGCAGAGAUGUAUGAGAGAGAGCCUCGAAUACUUAAGUAGCCCUUCUCUGUUCCAUAGUGAGGCCCUGGGAUGAUUUAUGGGCCAGGCCCUGGCGGCUUCUAGAGAGUAUCAAAUAAAACAGGGUUCCAAAAAGGAAAUGCAUCAAGAAGGCUGGGCCUGGACAUGGUGGUACAUAUGGGGAGUUUUGGCAAUACAGAGAGAGUUUGAAGCCAGCCUGGGCUAUAUGGAACCUUGUUUAAAAGCAAAACCCACAGAAGACAAAAA